Coregonus clupeaformis (lake whitefish) is the source of this 613-nucleotide long non-coding RNA. RefSeq lists it as uncharacterized. The record is from RefSeq and is a predicted model, not a curated record. The transcript has 2 exons. NCBI's taxonomy places the organism in Eukaryota, Metazoa, Chordata, Actinopteri, Salmoniformes, Salmonidae.
GUAUCUUAAACAGUCUAGAAAUGCUGAUUGUUGCAGAAAGUGUGAUAGAGGGAACUUGGCCCUAAGAUUUUGCUGAUGUGGCAAAAUGGUGUACUCUACUGUGCUGGAAACAUCUGGAAAGCAUUACUAAAUUCCUGGAAAAGAGGAUAUGUAAUGGCCAGGGAUUGGAUGUUAGAAUCACGCCAUGCUCUGGCCAUGUAGGAUAUAAAAGCAUGUCUUGAACAAUAGAAUGGAUAUAGCUAAUCAGAUUGGCUCGGGCUAUCUCCAGACAUCUGCAGGUGUUGGUCAAAAUUCGAUGCUGUAAACUCUUUGUUAUAAUAAACCUUUGAAAACAGAGUACAGUGUCGGCGGAUUCCUUUAUCAUCACAAGCAUGGACCAGCAAAAGUGUUUCUUUUAGGCACUACAUUUAAUGGCGACGAGGUUUUUGUUUUAUUGUUCUUUGGGACGUGCUAUGUCUCUUCUUUGCAUUCCAUUCCUGGGCUACAAAACGACUACCGCUCAAAGAAGCCGGAAAAAAUAAGAGACGAGAAGGAGGAGACAGAGAGAGAGAGAGAAAGAGGAGGGGCUGACAUCAACUGACACCAGUGACGGCAACCCAGUCCAAAUCAAGGC